GCCGGCGUAACUCAGUGGUAGAGUGCGACACUAGUAAUGUCGAUGUCAUGGGUUCAAUUCCCAUCGUUGGCU
RNAcentral lists this transfer RNA (72 nucleotides) under Pavlovales sp. CCMP2436. RNAcentral describes it as "tRNA-Thr". It matches the Rfam family "tRNA". Rfam says of the family: Transfer RNA (tRNA) molecules are approximately 80 nucleotides in length. Their secondary structure includes four short double-helical elements and three loops (D, anti-codon, and T loops). The record is from RNAcentral. Lineage: Eukaryota; Haptophyta; Pavlovophyceae; Pavlovales.